GUUUGUCACGUCGUCUGUGAAAUCCUCCAGCUCAACUGGGGGCGUGCAGGCGAUACGGGCAGACUUGAGUACUACAGGGGAGACUGGAAUUCCUGGUGUAGCGGUGAAAUGCGCAGAUAUCAGGAGGAACACCGGUGGCGAAGGCGGGUCUCUGGGUAGUAACUGACGCUGAGGAGCGAAAGCAUGGGGAGCAAACAGGAUUAGAUACCCUGGUAGUCCAUGCCGUAAACGGUGGGCGCUAGGUGUGGGGUCCUUCCACGGAUUCCGUGCCGUAGCUAACGCAUUAAGCGCCCCGCCUGGGGAGUACGGCCGCAAGGCUAAAACUCAAAGGAAUUGACGGGGGCCCGCACAAGCGGCGGAGCAUGUGGAUUAAUUCGAUGCAACGCGAAGAACCUUACCUAGGCUUGACAUAUACAGGACGACGGCAGAGAUGUCGUUUCCCUUGUGGCUUGUAUACAGGUGGUGCAUGGUUGUCGUCAGCUCGUGUCGUGAGAUGUUGGGUUAAGCCCCGCAACGAGCGCAACCCCUGUCUCAUGUUGCCAGCACGUUAUGGUGGGGACUCGUGAGAGACUGCCGGGGUCAACUCGGAGGAAGGUGGGGAUGACGUCAAAUCAUCAUGCCCCUUAUGUCUAGGGCUUCACACAUGCUACAAUGGCUAGUACAGAGGGCUGCGAGACCGCGAGGUGGAGCGAAUCCCUUAAAGCUAGUCUCAGUUCGGAUUGGGGUCUGCAACUCGACCCCAUGAA
This 746-nucleotide ribosomal RNA is filed under the name uncultured bacterium. RNAcentral's name for it is "bacterial SSU rRNA". It matches the Rfam family "Bacterial small subunit ribosomal RNA", at positions 578 to 1324 of the family's 1533-position model. The record is from RNAcentral.